UCCCUGCUGGUCAAGUGGCUAAGACUCUGAGCUUCCACUGCAGGGGCACAGGUUCGAUUCCUGGUCUGGGAA
RNAcentral lists this transfer RNA (72 nucleotides) under Ovis aries (sheep). It matches the Rfam family "tRNA". Rfam says of the family: Transfer RNA (tRNA) molecules are approximately 80 nucleotides in length. Their secondary structure includes four short double-helical elements and three loops (D, anti-codon, and T loops). Lineage: Eukaryota; Metazoa; Chordata; Mammalia; Artiodactyla; Bovidae. The record is from Rfam by way of RNAcentral.